UCAUUCAUUUGUGCAUGACAACAUUUCUACGAAUCAUCUGAUUGUCACAUAAUCUAAUUAUAUCAUUAAAGACUUUUAACAAUGGAUCUCUAGGCUCUUGCAUCGAUGAAGAACGCAGUGAAGUGCGAAAAGUAAUGCGAUUUGCAUGCUCUGUGAGUCAUCGAAUCUUUGAACGCAUAUGGCACCUGCCAACUCUUGUUGGAAGGUAUGCCUGUUUGAGAAUCAUCUACAAACUGCUCUUUUUUGUUCCCUCUAGUUACAGUUCACCUGCAAUUAUAUAGGAACAAGAAUGCUAUUGUUGGACCUUUAACAUUAAUCGUCUUUAAUUCUGAAAUACAAUGACCUGUUGAUAAAAUGUGAGAAUGGAUUCAUUUCAUUCGAUAUAUAUUUUGACAUGUCACAAACACCCUUAAUAAUGAUCUCAAAUCAGGCAAGGCUACCCGCUGAACUUAA
Molecule: ribosomal RNA, 453 nt
Filed under: uncultured fungus
Lineage: Eukaryota; Fungi
Description: eukaryotic LSU rRNA
Rfam family: 5.8S ribosomal RNA (bases 71-225)
Source: RNAcentral